This 253-nucleotide ribosomal RNA is filed under the name uncultured bacterium. RNAcentral's name for it is "partial 16S ribosomal RNA". It matches the Rfam family "Bacterial small subunit ribosomal RNA", at positions 524 to 776 of the family's 1533-position model. The record is from RNAcentral.
UACGAAGGGGGCUAGCGUUGCUCGGAAUCACUGGGCGUAAAGCGCACGUAGGCGGGUUCUUAAGUCAGGGGUGAAAUCCUGGAGCUCAACUCCAGAACUGCCUUUGAUACUGAGGAUCUUGAGUUCGGGAGAGGUGAGUGGAACUGCGAGUGUAGAGGUGAAAUUCGUAGAUAUUCGCAAGAACACCAGUGGCGAAGGCGGCUCACUGGCCCGAUACUGACGCUGAGGCACGAAAGCGUGGGGAGCAAACAGG